Molecule: long non-coding RNA, 534 nt
Filed under: Ricinus communis (castor bean)
Lineage: Eukaryota; Viridiplantae; Streptophyta; Magnoliopsida; Malpighiales; Euphorbiaceae
Description: long non-coding RNA (RCOM_LNC001958)
Source: RNAcentral
AGAGAGAGAGAGUUAUUCCAAAUGGAAAAGAAAGGAAAAAAAUGGAAGGCUUAUAAGUUGAUGGUGUAGUAAAUCAAAGUGGCUACAGGAUCAACUUAAGCUCAUUUUGCAAAUGUGGAAGAUGUCUCAGGCCCAACACUGCUCUCACCGCUAAAAUUACAGCAUAGUAUCAAGACCCCAGAGGCUUAACCACCGCAAAUUUUGGACCUGUAAAAAAUGAGUUGGGCUAGACAUGUAAGACCACUGCAAAAAGAGUGGACGUUUGGACCAAGUUGGAUGCGUAGGGCUGUACCGUAAAAAGAUGAGCUAGACAUUGAAAGGCUGAAUCCAAAUUGGAAAUGGUUUGAGGGUCAGAUUCACAACAGGCUGUAAAAAGUGAGCCAACCCAGUUACAUUUUAGGGGAGUGUUGAACAGUGGUAAAAAGAGAAAAAGAAUUAUAGUAAAAGAAAAAGAGAGAGAAAAAAAGAAAAAGAAAAAGAAUUAUUGCAAAUGAAAAAGAAAAAAAGAAAGAAAGAAACGGAUGGUUUAUAAGU